Molecule: long non-coding RNA, 640 nt
Organism: Gallus gallus (chicken)
Lineage: Eukaryota; Metazoa; Chordata; Aves; Galliformes; Phasianidae
Source: Ensembl
GUCUUUAAUGACACUCGAUAGCACAGGUCAAGGCUGAAAGGACAUGAAGCACAACCAAGUGUCUCAAUCUUCAUUCAGAUUUUAGCCUGUGUCAUAGCAGGAAGAAAUUUAAUACAAUGGGCUACCUAGCUCAGCUACAGGAUGUUGAUUCCAUGUGAAAUAUUGGAACCAUUCAAGAAGAAUGGAAAGACUGUAAAAUAGUUGAACAUGACUGAACUGUGAAAGGACAGUAGAUGAAUAGAGAAUUGUGGAAUAACAGCACCUGCCUUAGAACAUUAUGCGUCUGCAUCCCUGAAGAUAUGCAUGCCUCUAUUUGGAAACUCAAUGAACAGAAAGCACAACAUUAUUUAAUAUUGUCUGUACCUUCGUCUGAUGUUGCAGCAUGGACCACUAGCACGUUUUUUGUUCUUGCUUCUGUCCUUAAAUGGCCCAAGUUAAUUUGCCUCAGCUGGAGACAGCUCACCCAUCCUGAUAUGGUACCUGCAUGCAUAGAAGAAAAGUAAUGAAAGAAUUCCUGUGGUUUGGGUCAGUAAAUAAAACAGAAAGUCUUUCUGGUGGUUGUGGUUUCUGCACUUAACAAUGUGCUGUCUAUCCUUGCUAUUACAGAUCUUAGUUGAGUCUUAUAUAAACUAAACUCUAU